Molecule: ribosomal RNA, 451 nt
Filed under: uncultured bacterium
Lineage: Bacteria
Description: bacterial SSU rRNA
Rfam family: Bacterial small subunit ribosomal RNA
Source: RNAcentral
GGACCCGCACAAGCGGUGGAGCAUGUGGUUUAAUUCGACGAUAAGCGAGGAACCUCACCAAGGUUUGACAUCUGGCUGCAGACUCCUGGAAACAGGAGAGCCUUCGAGGGUGCCAGACAGAUGCUGCAUGGUUGUCGUCAGCUCGUGUCGUGAGAUGUACCGUUAAGUCGGAAAACGAGCGCAACCCCUAUCCUAUGUUUCAUGUGUCAUAGGGAACUGCCUGCGUUAAGCAGGAGGAAGGUGGGGAUGACGUCAAAUCAGCAUGGUUCUUACACCUUGGGCGACACACGUGCUACAAUGGGGAACACAAAGGGACGCCAAAUCGUAAGAUGGAGCAAACCCCAAAAAAUUCUCCUCAGUUCGGAUUGAGGUCUGCAACUCGACCUCAUGAAGUUGGAAUCGCUAGUAAACGCGUAUCAGCCACGGCGCGUUGAAUACGUUCUCGGGUCUU